This 420-nucleotide long non-coding RNA is filed under the name Bos taurus (domestic cattle). Its description in RNAcentral is "long non-coding RNA NONBTAT023806". Lineage: Eukaryota; Metazoa; Chordata; Mammalia; Artiodactyla; Bovidae. The record is from RNAcentral.
GGAACAGCUUACAAUUAUUUGUAACUGAUUUUUUGCUAAAAUCAAAACCACCAUACUGAACAAAACACACAUCCAGAAAGAACAUGUACUCAGUGACAAAAUUCACUUCUAACUCAGCAGGCCCUUCAAGUAUUUUGCUGAUCCCCUAUUUAUCAGAUAACCUAGUAGCUAACUGUCACUUAGGCAAAUGUUAUAGCAAUCCACCAAACACUAGUUAGGCAUGAAAAAGAUACGACAUGAUCCUUAGCUCCAAGGGGCUAAGAUCUAGUUGUAAAAAAUAAACGCACCAGCCACUGAAUAAAAGCUAAAGUACCCAAAAGAAAAUGACACAAGUAAUAAGUGCUACUUAUAAAGGCAGAUGCAAUGCGCAAGUACUAAAUAGAAGACUUGGAUUGAACUGUGCAGAAGAAGGCUUCAUAU